RNAcentral lists this ribosomal RNA (360 nucleotides) under uncultured Pelotomaculum sp. Its description in RNAcentral is "bacterial SSU rRNA". It matches the Rfam family "Bacterial small subunit ribosomal RNA", at positions 1022 to 1382 of the family's 1533-position model. The record is from RNAcentral. Lineage: Bacteria; Bacillati; Bacillota; Clostridia; Eubacteriales; Desulfotomaculaceae.
GGUACAUCGGUGACAGGUGGUGCAUGGUUGUCGUCAGCUCGUGUCGUGAGAUGUUGGUUAAGUCCCGCAACGAGCGCAACCCCUACGUUUAGUUGCUAACGCGUGAAGGCGAGCACUCUAGACGAACUGCCGUUGACAAAACGGAGGAAGGUGGGAUGACGUCAAAUCAUCAUGCCCCUUAUGUUCUGGGCUACACACGUGCUACAAUGGCCGGUACAGACGGAGGCGAAGCCGCGAGGCGGAGCAAAUCCGAAAAAGCCGGUCUCAGUUCGGAUUGCAGGCUGCAAUUCGCCUGCAUGAAGUCGGAAUCGCUAGUAAUCGCAGGUCAGCAUACUGCGGUCGAAUACGUUCCCGGGCCUU